This 252-nucleotide ribosomal RNA is filed under the name uncultured bacterium. Its description in RNAcentral is "partial 16S ribosomal RNA". It matches the Rfam family "Bacterial small subunit ribosomal RNA", at positions 524 to 776 of the family's 1533-position model. The record is from RNAcentral.
UACGUAGGGCGCAAGCGUUAUCCGGAAUUAUUGGGCGUAAAGAGCUCGUAGGCGGUUUGUCGCGUCUGCCGUGAAAGUCCGGGGCUCAACUCCGGAUCUGCGGUGGGUACGGGCAGACUAGAGUGAUGUAGGGGAGACUGGAAUUCCUGGUGUAGCGGUGAAAUGCGCAGAUAUCAGGAGGAAACCAGAUGGCGAAGGCAGGUCUCUGGGAGUUAACUGCCGCUGAGGAGCGAAAGCAUGGGAGCGAACAGG